This 435-nucleotide ribosomal RNA is filed under the name Clostridium acetobutylicum. RNAcentral's name for it is "bacterial SSU rRNA". It matches the Rfam family "Bacterial small subunit ribosomal RNA", at positions 1095 to 1533 of the family's 1533-position model. The record is from RNAcentral. Lineage: Bacteria; Bacillati; Bacillota; Clostridia; Eubacteriales; Clostridiaceae.
AGCGCAACCCUUAUCAUUAGUUGCUAACAUUUAGUUGAGCACUCUAGUGAGACUGCCGGGUUAACCGGGAGGAAGGUGGGGAUGACGUCAAAUCAUCAUGCCCCCUUAUGUCUAGGGCUACACACGUGCUACAAUGGUGGGGACAAAAGAUGCAAUACCGCAAGGUGGAGCAAAACUCAAAACCCCAUCCCAGUUCGGAUUGUAGGCUGAAACUCGCCUACAUGAAGCCGGAGUUGCUAGUAAUCGCGAAUCAGAAUGUCGCGGUGAAUACGUUCCCGGGUCUUGUACACACCGCCCGUCACACCAUGAGAGUCGGCAACACCCGAAGCCCGUGAGGUAACCUUUUGGAACCAGCGGUCGAAGGUGGGGUUGAUAAUUGGGGUGAAGUCGUAACAAGGUAGCCGUAGGAGAACCUGCGGCUGGAUCACCUCCUUU